This 468-nucleotide ribosomal RNA is filed under the name Veillonella parvula. Its description in RNAcentral is "bacterial SSU rRNA". It matches the Rfam family "Bacterial small subunit ribosomal RNA", at positions 28 to 472 of the family's 1533-position model. The record is from RNAcentral. Lineage: Bacteria; Bacillati; Bacillota; Negativicutes; Veillonellales; Veillonellaceae.
GACGAACGCUGGCGGCGUGCUUAACACAUGCAAGUCGAACGAAGAGCGACGGAAGCUUGCUUCUAUCAAUCUUAGUGGCGAACGGGUGAGUAACGCGUAAUCAACCUGCCCUUCAGAGGGGGACAACAGUUGGAAACGACUGCUAAUACCGCAUACGAUCUAAUCUCGGCAUCGAGGAUAGAUGAAAGGUGGCCUCUACAUGUAAGCUAUCACUGAAGGAGGGGAUUGCGUCUGAUUAGCUAGUUGGAGGGGUAACGGCCCACCAAGGCGAUGAUCAGUAGCCGGUCUGAGAGGAUGAACGGCCACAUUGGGACUGAGACACGGCCCAGACUCCUACGGGAGGCAGCAGUGGGGAAUCUUCCGCAAUGGACGAAAGUCUGACGGAGCAACGCCGCGUGAGUGAUGACGGCCUUCGGGUUGUAAAGCUCUGUUAAUCGGGACGAAAGGCCUUCUUGCGAACAGUUAGAA